Molecule: ribosomal RNA, 200 nt
Filed under: uncultured Actinomycetales bacterium
Lineage: Bacteria; Bacillati; Actinomycetota; Actinomycetes; Actinomycetales
Description: partial 16S ribosomal RNA
Rfam family: Bacterial small subunit ribosomal RNA
Source: RNAcentral
GGAUGAGCCCGCGGCCUAUCAGCUUGUUGGUGGGGUAAUGGCCUACCAAGGCGACGACGGGUAGCCGGCCUGAGAGGGCGACCGGCCACACUGGGAUUGAGACACGGCCCAGACUCCUACGGGAGGCAGCAGUGGGGAAUAUUGCACAAUGGGCGAAAGCCUGAUGCAGCGACGCCGCGUGAGGGAUGACGGCUCUUCGG